This 506-nucleotide ribosomal RNA is filed under the name Islamia globulus. RNAcentral describes it as "partial large subunit ribosomal RNA". It matches the Rfam family "Archaeal large subunit ribosomal RNA", at positions 1911 to 2669 of the family's 2987-position model. The record is from RNAcentral. Lineage: Eukaryota; Metazoa; Mollusca; Gastropoda; Littorinimorpha; Hydrobiidae.
CGCUCUUUGAUUAUUUUAUAUAGAGAGUCGAACCUGCCCAGUGAUUUUAUUUAACGACCGCGGUACUCUGACCGUGCAAAGGUAGCAUAAUCAUUUGCCAUAUAAUUGAAGGCUAGUAUGAAUGGUUUGACAAGAAUAGUACUGUCUCCAUAAACAUUUUAUAAAAUUUGGUUUUUAGGUGAAGAAACCUAAAUAAUAUUAAAAGACAAGAAGACCCUAUCGAGCUUAAAAUAAUUUAUUUGGAAUUUUUGUUAAUAUCAGUUUCAGCUAAAAAUUUUGGUUGGGGCGACUAAGGAAUAUAAAAAACUUCCUAUAAAAUUUAGAAACUUUUAUGUUUUGAUUCAAAAAAAUUGAUUAACAGAAUUAGUUACCGUAGGGAUAAAAGCAUUAUCUUUUUUGAGAGUUCUUAUAAAGAAAAAGGUUUGUGACCUCGAUGUAAGACUAGGAUACCCAGAAAGGUGCAGAAGCCUUCAAUGGUUGGUCUGUUGAACCAUUAAUAUCCUACA